RNAcentral lists this long non-coding RNA (399 nucleotides) under Medicago truncatula (barrel medic). RNAcentral describes it as "long non-coding RNA (MTRU_LNC008332)". The record is from RNAcentral. Lineage: Eukaryota; Viridiplantae; Streptophyta; Magnoliopsida; Fabales; Fabaceae.
UUUUUUUGAAGAAACAAAAAUGGUAUAUAUUAACAAAGGCGGUAAAACCUCCUAAGUACAAGAUGUACUAAGAAGUCACCCCUCAAAGAGUCAAACAAAUGUAGUAAUUACAAUAAACCGGGUGCGUCGAUACCUAAACAAAGCAUAGGAUCCGACCACCACCUUUGAGAACCGUACACAAAUGUGGCUUUACUAGCUUUUAGCCACCAUAAAGAGUGUAAUUUUACUUUUUCUGAUAAGCCUUCAAUGGAUGUUUGGGUAUUAUUAAAAAGUCUGUUGUUGCGUUCAUUCCAAACCAUCCACACACAAAGUAACCAAAUGAGCUGCAGAAAGGAUCUACGCGCCCUCGUAUGACCCGUACUAGUAAUAAACUGAAUAAAGUGGUCACUAAGAUCAUGG